UACGUAGGGUGCAAGCGUUAUCCGGAAUUAUUGGGCGUAAAGAGCUCGUAGGCGGUUUGUCGCGUCUGCUGUGAAAACUGGGGGCUCAACCCCCAGCCUGCAGUGGGUACGGGCAGACUAGAGUGCGGUAGGGGAGAUUGGAAUUCCUGGUGUAGCGGUGGAAUGCGCAGAUAUCAGGAGGAACACCGAUGGCGAAGGCAGAUCUCUGGGCCGUAACUGACGCUCAGGUGCGAAAGCCAGGGGAGCGAACGGG
Molecule: ribosomal RNA, 253 nt
Filed under: uncultured bacterium
Lineage: Bacteria
Description: partial 16S ribosomal RNA
Rfam family: Bacterial small subunit ribosomal RNA
Source: RNAcentral